CUACGAGUUUGAUCAUGGCUCAGGAUGAACGCUAGCGGCAGGCUUAACACAUGCAAGUCGAGGGGCAGCGCGAUGUAGCAAUACAUUGGCGGCGACCGGCGCACGGGUGCGUAACACGUAUGGAACUUACCCAUUACUGGGAGAUAGCCCGGAGAAAUCCGGAUUAAUAUCCCAUAAUAAACGAAGUGGCAUCACUUUGUUUUGAAAGCUCCGGCGGUAAAGGAUGGCCAUGCGCACGAUUAGCUAGUAGGUGAGGUAACGGCUCACCUAGGCUACGAUCGUUAGGGGGCCUGAGAGGGUUAUCCCCCACACUGGUACUGAGACACGGACCAGACUCCUACGGGAGGCAGCAGUGAGGAAUAUUGCGCAAUGGAGGCAACUCUGACGCAGCCAUGCCGCGUGCAGGAAGAAGGCGCUACGCGUUGUAAACUGCUUUUAACCGGGAAGAAACCCUCCGACGUGUCGGAGGUUGACGGUACCGGAGGAAUAAGCACCGGCUAACUUCGUG
RNAcentral lists this ribosomal RNA (508 nucleotides) under uncultured bacterium. Its description in RNAcentral is "bacterial SSU rRNA". It matches the Rfam family "Bacterial small subunit ribosomal RNA", at positions 1 to 507 of the family's 1533-position model. The record is from RNAcentral.